AGAGUUUGAUUCUGGCUCAGGAUGAACGCUGGCGGCGCGCUUAACACAUGCAAGUCGAACGAUUAAAGCACCUUCGGGUGUGUAUAAAGUGGCGAACGGCUGAGUAACACGUGGGCAACCUGCCCUCUCAUCGGGAUAGCCUCGGGAAACCGUGGAUAAUACCGAAUACUCCGAUUAUCUCGCAUGGGAUUUUCGGGAAAGCUCCGGCGGAGAGGGAUGGGCCCGCGGCCUGUUGGCUUGUUGGUGGGGUAACGGCCUACCAAGGCUAUUAUGGGUAGCCGGGUUGAGAGACCGACCGGCCAGAUUGGGACUGAGACACGGCCCAGACUCCUACGGGAGGCAGCAGUGGGGAAUCUUGCACAAUGGGCGCAAGCCUGAUGCAGCCGACGCCGCGUGCGGGAUGAAGGCCUCCGGGUUGUAAACCGCUUUCAGCAGGGACGAGGCCGCAAGGUGACGGUACCUGCAGAAGAAGCCCCGGCUAACUACGUGCCAGCCGCUGC
Molecule: ribosomal RNA, 500 nt
Filed under: uncultured bacterium
Lineage: Bacteria
Description: bacterial SSU rRNA
Rfam family: Bacterial small subunit ribosomal RNA
Source: RNAcentral